AUGGGGCGUCAUUUGCCCCAGGGCCUUCUGAAGCUCUGGAAACGCUUCAAGCGUUGGAGAAACCGGAGGAUCCAGCCAGAGCAGCCGGUGGGCGAAGGUGGUCCAGAUGGGCCUAACCCCGUCCACGUCCAUCCUUCACCCACUCCUCAGGUGGGUCACUCAUACACACCCCAUCCACCUUCUCCUCCACGCUCUCUUAUUUUUGGUCUGCUGGUCCUUCUGUUUCUCCUUCACACUCUCCUGUUCCUUGUUGCUUUGAUGUCCUUGCCUUUUCUCCUUCACCCUCACCCUCUCCUACUCCUUCUUUUUCUUCUUUCUUCUUCCUCACUCUCUUCUGCUUCCUCUGGUACUUGGUGCUCUGACAUCUUUCCUUUUUCUCCUUACCCUUCUCCUUCUCCUUCACCCUCGUCCUAUUCCUUCUUUGUCUUCUUCUUCUUCCUCACUCUCCUCUGCUUACUCUGCUUCUCUGUGCUCUGACAUCUCUUCUUUUUCUCCUUACCCCCUGUCCUACUCCCGCUUUUUUCUUCUUCCUCGCCCUCCUCUGCUUACUCUAGUACUUGUUGCUCUGAUGUCCUUCCAUUUUGUCCUUCACCCUCUCCUGUUCCUAGUUGCUCUGCUGUCCUUCCUCUUUCUCUCCUUCACCCUCUUCUACUCCUUGUUCUUCCUUCUCCUCACCCUCUUCUGCUUACUCUUGUCUUGUUUACCCUCUCCUGUGACGGAGAGAGUGAAGGAGCUCAUCCAGCAGCUCAUCUUUCCAGGAGAGGUAAGGAAGACAGUGAUGAGGAGGGGGCUGCUCUUGGAAGACUUACUGUGGGACACUGUUUCCUACAGUAAAAGCAGUCUUGGAUUUGACCCCAGGGCACCUUUUUUUAGUUUUAUUUCUAUAUCAUAAGUUUAAAUGUUCAUUCCAACUUUGAGAACUAGCUUUUGCGUCUGGCUGGGCAGUUUUCAGGUCCCAGGAAGCGUCUGGCGCUGGGACCUUUCUUUCUUUCCUGGAUGAACACAAGUUUAAAUGUUAUUUUUUUACCCUGAGAACUAGCCUUUGCGUCUGGCUGGGCGGUUCUCAGGUCCCAGGUAGCGUCUGGCACUGGGGCCAGUUUUUAGUGUUUUUUAUAUUUUAGCAUGGCGGUUGGAUGGACUUUUCUUUCACCCUGAAGGCUGAGUUCAGCGCCUGGCAGGGCCGUCGAUCCCCCCAUGCAAGUUGCCCUAGCGUCUGGCAGGGUAGCUAUCAUGUUUCCUCCACAGCGAUAGAAGGUCAGCUCAGUCACAGUGGCACUGGGGACACAUGUCGUCUCCCACUGAAGCUCCUCGGCGGCAGAUGACUGCAGUGUCAUGUGUUAUGGAGGAGGCACAUGGCUGUCUGCAGUCCUCAUCCUGCUCCACACUAAAGGGGGCAGUGACUGACGGCUUCUGACCAUUACGUCUGUCUGUCCAGUGGACAAAAGGUGAGUACAAGAUUUGGAUUGGUUGACAGUUUCAAAGGAAGUAGUUGAAUAGAAAUACAUAUAUUUUGUAUAUGUUAAAUUUUAUGUGAGACUGAUUGAUUGAUUGUGAGCUUUUUAUUACAUGUAGGCUCAAAUGAGGAGAGGAGGUUGGAGGCCAACAGCAAACCCGAAUCAGCUCCUGCUGAAUGUAAAUAUUCAUUGAUCUGUUGUUUUUGCAGAAUAAUUGUUAUAUUCAGUCAUUUGCUCGUGUGGUCUUAUUAGUCCAACAAUUGAUUUUAAAGAGAGUAGUUGAGUAGAAAUAAAUAUGUUUGUAUUACAUUGAAAUUUAAAGUG
This 1778-nucleotide long non-coding RNA is filed under the name Betta splendens (Siamese fighting fish). RNAcentral describes it as "lncRNA (ENSBSLG00000002734.1)". The record is from RNAcentral. Lineage: Eukaryota; Metazoa; Chordata; Actinopteri; Anabantiformes; Osphronemidae.